This 62-nucleotide transfer RNA is filed under the name Ixodes ovatus. RNAcentral describes it as "tRNA-Cys". The record is from RNAcentral. Lineage: Eukaryota; Metazoa; Arthropoda; Arachnida; Ixodida; Ixodidae.
AAUCUUAUAUUUUAUGAAAAAAUAUUAAAUUGCAAGUUUAAAGAAGAAAAUAUCUAAGAUUU